UGACUCUUCGUUUUAUUUGAAUUUUUUUUGAGAUUAAUAUUUUUAUUCUUACUAGAUAAUAAAACAUGAAGAGUACUUUAUGCGUGACUAAUUUUUUUAAGGUUUUGUGUAAAUUUUUUAAAUAAAACAAAUGGACA
This 137-nucleotide microRNA precursor is filed under the name Oryza brachyantha (malo sina). RNAcentral describes it as "MIR812 microRNA precursor family". It matches the Rfam family "MIR812 microRNA precursor family", at positions 35 to 171 of the family's 205-position model. Lineage: Eukaryota; Viridiplantae; Streptophyta; Magnoliopsida; Poales; Poaceae. The record is from Rfam by way of RNAcentral.